RNAcentral lists this unclassified non-coding RNA (248 nucleotides) under Hevea brasiliensis (rubber tree). The record is from RNAcentral. Lineage: Eukaryota; Viridiplantae; Streptophyta; Magnoliopsida; Malpighiales; Euphorbiaceae.
GUCCUCGUUUAGAUUCAUAAUCUAAACCCAACAUUCGACUGCAGCAUGACAGAAAGUGACGUGCAUAAUCGAAGGUAUGAAAGCCAAUUAGGUCGCAAUUUAACAACCCUUUGAGAAUUUCAUCCCUAACAGGCAGAGUUCGGUAAAUUUCUGACGAAGGAAAUGGGCUAUGAAGAAAGAAACCUAGCUUGACACGAUGGUAGCGCUUCCUUAAAAAUGUCGGUAGAACCAUGAGGUGGUAAUCUUGA